AUGAGUAAAAAGGGUCUCAAAAAAGGCAGUAAUAAGAAAAACCAAAAGGAACAGGGUUCCGAUAAUGAAAACAAAGAGCAUGAAACAAUCGAGGGUGGAGAUAUCGAAGGUGAACAUGUAGAAGAUGCAAAUUUGGCUGAUAAUACCAUCGUAGACAAAUCAAAAAGUGAUAAACAAGUGAAUAGUAAAAAAAAAAAUUAUAUAGACCCUAAGGCAUACAAUAAGUUUAAAAAUGAUGGAUCGUUCUUGGAGCAGGUGCUAGCAAUGCAAAAGCAAAAAAAAAUAAGAAAAUUAAAAGAACCAAAUUCGUUUGAUCCCCAAAAGAAAAAAACGAAGUUAGAAGAAGAAAAAGGAGAGAAAGAAGAUGAAAAACAAGUUGAGCAAAAAGGAAAAGAUUCUGAAUCUAGUGUAGAGGAUGAAAGAGAGGCAGAAAUAAAAAAUGAAUAUAUUGAAAAUAUAAGUAAAAUGAAAGAAGAAGGUUUUUUCACAGAUAAAGGCAUAGGAGCUGGAUUAGUGAAAUAAAAAAAAAAAAAAAUUAAUCGGUGUAUAUGUAUAUAUAUAUAUUUUUUUUUUUGUUAAUCACAAAAUUAAAAUAGAAAUUGUGAUGAAUUUGUACGUAUCUAUUUUUAUUUUAUUUUUUUCUUUUCUGUAAUUUUGAUUUUUUGAAAAGUAAUUUUUUGAAAAGUGAUUUUUUGAAAGAUGAUUUUUUUUUUUUUUUUUUUUAUAAUUAAUUUUGUUAAGAUUUAUUUUUUUUUACAAAAUAAUGUAUCACCAAAGAAAAAAUAAUUUUGUCUAAACAAAUAGUUUCAAACGAUUGUAUGUAUAUUACUUUUUUUUUUUUUUUUUAUUGUUUUACACAUUAUGUUUUAUAAUGUUACAUUGUGUGUAGCAUUGUAUUUACAUUUGCAUCGUAGCAUCAUUUUUUAUUUUUUUUUCGUUCUGUACAUGUACUUUUUUAUAAACACAACAUCAGCAAUAUUAAAUUAAAAAAACAAAAAUAUAUAUAAUAAACAAUAUGUAAUAAACA
RNAcentral lists this long non-coding RNA (1027 nucleotides) under Piliocolobus tephrosceles (Ugandan red Colobus). RNAcentral describes it as "lncRNA (ENSPTEG00000008746.1)". Lineage: Eukaryota; Metazoa; Chordata; Mammalia; Primates; Cercopithecidae. The record is from RNAcentral.